RNAcentral lists this small RNA (985 nucleotides) under uncultured Micrococcineae bacterium. Its description in RNAcentral is "bacterial SSU rRNA". The stretch from base 1 to 492 matches the Rfam family "Bacterial small subunit ribosomal RNA", at positions 1045 to 1533 of the family's 1533-position model. The record is from RNAcentral. Lineage: Bacteria; Bacillati; Actinomycetota; Actinomycetes; Micrococcales.
AUGGCUGUCGUCAGCUCGUGUCGUGAGAUGUUGGGUUAAGUCCCGCAACGAGCGCAACCCCUGUUCUUAGUUGCCAGCGCGUAAUGGCGGGGACUCUAGGAAGACUGCCGGUGCCAAACCGGAGGAAGGUGGGGACGACGUCAAAUCAUCAUGCCCCUUAUGUCUUGGGCUUCACGCAUGCUACAAUGGCCAGUACAAAGGGCUGCGAUGCCGUAAGGUGGAGCGAAUCCCAAAAAACUGGUCUCAGUUCGGAUUGGGGUCUGCAACUCGACCCCAUGAAGUCGGAGUCGCUAGUAAUCGCAGAUCAGCAACGCUGCGGUGAAUACGUUCCCGGGCCUUGUACACACCGCCCGUCAAGUCACGAAAGUCGGUAACACCCGAAGCCGGUGGCCCAACUCGCAAGAGGGGGAGCCGUCGAAGGUGGGACUGGCGAUUGGGACUAAGUCGUAACAAGGUAGCCGUACCGGAAGGUGCGGCUGGAUCACCUCCUUUCUAAGGAGCACUGGCAUCCCCUGUUGGGGGUGUCCAGGUAGCCCGCCACGACCGUUCGCGUUGUGGGGGUUGCUCACGGGUGGAUCAUCGAUUACUUGGCGCCGCGCAGUGGUGGUGGUUUGCGAGUACUGGUUUCUUGUCCUUCGGGGUAGGGGCCGUGGAAAGCGCCGCGACUGGUGGGCGGCCUCUGGCACGUUGUUGGGUCCUGAGGGCUCGGGCGCAAGCUCGGUGUUUUCAGUGGGCCUCACCUGUUCUCGUACCACCUGUCCUUUCUUUUUGUGGGGGUGGGGUUGGCGGGGGCGUGUUGGUGAUGGUGCCGCCCGUAUGUUGAGAACUACACAGUGGACGCGAGCAUCUUUGUGGCCAAGUUUUUAAGGGCGCACGGUGGCUGCCUUGGUACCAGGAACCGAAGAAGGACGUAGGAAUCUGCGAUAAGCCACGGGGAGUCGAUAACCAGACUGUGAUCCGUGGAUUUCCGAAUGGGGAAACCCGG